CUACGGGGGGCAGCAGUGGGGGAUAUUGCACAAUGGGGGAAACCCUGAUGCAGCAACGCCGCGUGAAGGAAGACGGAUUUCGGUCUGUAAACUUCUAUCAGCAGGGAUGAAAAUGACAGUACCUGACUAAGAAGCCCCGGCUAACUACGUGCCAGCAGCCGCGGUAAUACGUAGGGGGCAAGCGUUAUCCGGAUUUACUGGGUGUAAAGGGUACGUAGGCGGUUUGUUAAGUCAGAUGUGAAAGCCCGGAGCUCAACUCCGGGACUGCAUUUGAAACUGGCGAACUAGAGUACAGGAGAGGAAAGCGGAAUUCCUAGUGUAGCGGUGAGAUGCGUAGAUAUUAGGAAGAACACCAGUGGCGAAGGCGGCUUUCUGGACUGUAACUGACGCUGAGGUACGAAAGCGUGGGGAGCGAACAGGAUUAGAUACCCCCGUAGUC
Molecule: ribosomal RNA, 439 nt
Filed under: uncultured bacterium
Lineage: Bacteria
Description: partial 16S ribosomal RNA
Rfam family: Bacterial small subunit ribosomal RNA
Source: RNAcentral